CACGCCGUAAACGAUGACUACUAGGUGUCGGGUAGCAAAGCUAUUCGGUGCCGCAGCAAACGCAAUAAGUAGUCCACCUGGGGAGUACGUUCGCAAGAAUGAAACUCAAAGGAAUUGACG
RNAcentral lists this ribosomal RNA (120 nucleotides) under uncultured bacterium. Its description in RNAcentral is "partial 16S ribosomal RNA". It matches the Rfam family "Bacterial small subunit ribosomal RNA", at positions 796 to 915 of the family's 1533-position model. The record is from RNAcentral.